AAUGAAGACCCGUAUGAAUGGUUAAACGAGGGCUUAACUGUCUCCUUUUUCAAGUCAAUGAAAUUGAUCUACCCGUGCAGAAGCGGGUAUCACCCUACAAGACGAGAAGACCCUUUGGAGCUUAAGAUAACUGAUCAACUAUGUCAAUAAGGGACCCCCCCCCUUAAACCAAGUAAACAAUGAUCAUAAUCUUCGGUUGGGGCGACCACGGGAGAAAACAAAGCUCCCACGAGGACUAGGAGUUUACCCCAGAACCAAGAGAGACAUCUCUAAGUCACAGAAAUUCUGACCCACAGAUCCGGGUUACACCGAUCAACGAACUAAGUUACCCUAGGGAUAACAGCGCAAUCCCCUUUCAGAGUCCAUAUCGACAAGGGGGUUUACGACCUCGAUGUUGGAUCAGGACAUCCUAAUGGUGCAGCCGCUAUUAAGGGUUCGUUUGUUCAACGAUUA
RNAcentral lists this ribosomal RNA (453 nucleotides) under Paravandellia oxyptera (Pantanal parasitic catfish). RNAcentral's name for it is "partial 16S ribosomal RNA". It matches the Rfam family "Bacterial large subunit ribosomal RNA", at positions 1979 to 2590 of the family's 2925-position model. The record is from RNAcentral. Lineage: Eukaryota; Metazoa; Chordata; Actinopteri; Siluriformes; Trichomycteridae.